AGCAGCCGCGGUAAUUCCAGCUCCAAUAGCGUAUAUUAAAGUUGUUGCAGUUAAAAAGCUCGUAGUUGAAUUUCGGGACCAAUCUGCCGGUCGUGCCUCCGGUACGCACUGGUUUUAUUGGUUUCUCCCUUCUGACGAACCAUGAUGUCAUUAAUUUGGUGUCAUGGGGAAUCAGGACUGUUACUUUGAAAAAAUUAGAGUGUUUAUAGCAGGCUUACGCUUGAAUACAUUAGCAUGGAAUAAUGAAAUAGGACGUUUGACCCUAUUUUGUUGGUUUCUAGGAUCGACGUAAUGAUUAAUAGGGAUAGUUGGGGGCAUUAGUAUUCAAUUGUCAGAGGUGAAAUUCUUGGAUUUAUUGAAGACUAACUACUGCGAAAGCAUUUGCCAAGGAUGUUUUCAUUAAUCAAGAACGAAAGUUAGGGGAUCGAAGACGAUCAGAUACCGUCGUAGUCUUAACCAUAAACUAUGCCGACUAGGGAUCGGAUGAUGUUAAUUUUUAAUGACUCAUUCGGCGCCUUAA
This 520-nucleotide ribosomal RNA is filed under the name uncultured Glomus. Its description in RNAcentral is "SSU rRNA". It matches the Rfam family "Eukaryotic small subunit ribosomal RNA", at positions 569 to 1091 of the family's 1831-position model. Lineage: Eukaryota; Fungi; Glomeromycota; Glomeromycetes; Glomerales; Glomeraceae. The record is from RNAcentral.